CGUAGCAAUACCUUUUCGGCCUCGAUCCGGUGCCUUUCGGUCACUUUCCGACCGGAAUUCUUGUAUUUUUAGACUCCUCACAACUCGAGCUUCGCGUAGGCCCUUCCAGAUUCGAAUUCCGACGCUGUUGGCAAGACCGGCUUUCAGACCCCAGUGCUUUUCGGCCGUGCGAAAUAUUACAAUUUCGACUCGGUAUAAUUUUAUUUAGACCUUAAAAAUUAUGUUGUAAUUUUAGAAAAAUAUUGUGGCUAUUAAUUAUUAGUGAUGGAUAAACUAAAAAUUAUUUGAAUUUAAUUAUUUGUGUUUGUGAUGUGUUGCAGAGUCAGAAAAAUUAAUGCAGUUUUGGUUGCCCGACUCCCGUUAAUUAAUCGCAGUAUAUUUGAAGUACUUUUUGGCAGGUUUUGGACCCGUUUUAUAGGAAAUAAACGUCUGUAAUUUAGGAGAGGUUCCGCCGAAUUUUCAAACAAAAUUUUCGAGUUUAAAGUAAUUUCAAGCAGUCUAAUCUAGGGGUCUAGGCCUAGGGAAAAAUUUAAGAUUUUCUAUUAACUAAGUGUUUUCGUGAAUAGAUAAUCCAUCCUCCUCAUCGCCUGCGCCUCCCAGCUGGUCGCCGCCGUUCAGCAGCCCUCCUCCUCCUUCUCCCUCCUUUCCACCGACGCCGACAAAGGAAGAAGGGGUUGCCAUCGUCGGUUUGGCCUCCUGCCGGCGUCCUUUCGGUAAACCGACACCGAAAUCGGACUCCCCACCCC
Molecule: long non-coding RNA, 746 nt
Filed under: Ricinus communis (castor bean)
Lineage: Eukaryota; Viridiplantae; Streptophyta; Magnoliopsida; Malpighiales; Euphorbiaceae
Description: long non-coding RNA (RCOM_LNC003115)
Source: RNAcentral